CCUACGGGAGGCAGCAGUGGGGAAUAUUGGACAAUGGGGGAAAGCCUGAUCCAGCGACGCCGCGUGAGGGAAGAAGUAUUUCGGUAUGUAAAGCUCUAUCAGCAGGGAAGAAAAGGAGGGUACCUGACUAAGAAGCUCCGGCUAACUACGUGCGAGCAGACGCGGGAAUACGGAGGGGGCAAGCGUUAUCCGGAUUUACUGGGUGUAAAGGGAGCGUAGACGGGGGUGAAAAUCAGGAGUGAAAUGCCGGGGCCCAACCCCGGAACUGCUCUGGAAACUGUGAAGCUGGAGUGCAGGAGAGGUAAGCGGAAUUCCUGGUGUAGCGGUGAAAUGCGUAGAUAUCAGGAGGAACACCGGCGGCGAAGGCGGCUUACUGGACUGUAACUGACGUUGAGGCUCGAAGGCGUGGGGAGCAAACAGGAUUAGAUACCCGAGUAGUC
RNAcentral lists this ribosomal RNA (440 nucleotides) under uncultured bacterium. RNAcentral's name for it is "partial 16S ribosomal RNA". It matches the Rfam family "Bacterial small subunit ribosomal RNA", at positions 338 to 795 of the family's 1533-position model. The record is from RNAcentral.